Molecule: long non-coding RNA, 807 nt
Filed under: Mytilus galloprovincialis (Mediterranean mussel)
Lineage: Eukaryota; Metazoa; Mollusca; Bivalvia; Mytilida; Mytilidae
Source: RNAcentral
CAACAGAAUCAUCAUCAAUCCAGAGUUCAGAAAACCAAACAUCAAAUCAAACUGAUGUUAGUCAACCUGGAGAACAAAGAUAUGUUAAACAAGACGCAAAGCUCUCACAGAGGAAGACAUUCUAAGAAAUUUGACCAUCUUAAAUCCAGAUUUUAUUGAAGAAAACAGAUCCACAGAAAAUUCAUUAUACCAACAGUAUUAAACUGCACAAAUAGAAACAGGAAUCCACACAUAUUAUGCAUGAAUGAUAUCAACAUGAAUACUGGAACUAUAUAUGACUUUUCUUAUGUUCAUAUGACAAUUUUGGAAGAAAAUGAACUACAUUAUAGUUGUACUUUAUGAACUUUAUGACACCCUUCUUCAACUUGCAACUUUUAAUGACAAUUUUGAUACUGAGAUUGAUGAUGUUAAUAUUCGAUGCUUCCAUAUUCGUCUUUUUGAGGUAGUGAUUGAACCAAUUUUUAUUAAUGUUUUUACUCCAGAAUCCAUUCCACAACCAACUAAAAGUCAAGAAAUUGUUAUUAGAUCUUUAGAACUUCUGGACAGACCUGUUUGUAUUUUGCCAUCAACAUUGAAACCCAAGAAAUUCACUGUAAGAGACGAAAAUGAUACUGAAUCUUGUAAUUUUGUUCACCUAUCCAAAAACCGUUUAAAAUGUCAAUCUGGGGAAUGCAAACAAUAUAGGGAUGCUCUCAAAGAAAGGUAAUAUAUCUAGAAGAAAAACUACCAACAUAUGCCAUGAAGAGGAACAUAAAUGUGCGGUAAGUUAAUCUGGAUAACAUGGAGGAUGACAAUGAUGAUGAAUAC